RNAcentral lists this ribosomal RNA (144 nucleotides) under Beesia calthifolia. Its description in RNAcentral is "5.8S ribosomal RNA". It matches the Rfam family "5.8S ribosomal RNA". From Rfam's summary of the family: 5.8S ribosomal RNA (5.8S rRNA) is a component of the large subunit of the eukaryotic ribosome. The record is from RNAcentral. Lineage: Eukaryota; Viridiplantae; Streptophyta; Magnoliopsida; Ranunculales; Ranunculaceae.
GACUCUCGGCAACGGAUAUCUCGGCUCUUGCAUCGAUGAAGAACGUAGCGAAAUGCGAUACUUGGUGUGAAUUGCAGAAUCCCGUGAACCAUCGAGUCUUUGAACGCAAGUUGCGCCCGAGGCCAUUAGGUUGAGGGCACGUCU